CUGACUAGGUUGCAGUGCUCUAGGACCACUAACUUUUCUAGACUUUUCAAAUUGUGGUGAGAUUUUUGUCAUGUGACCUAAUGAUCCAAUGUAUGACAACCUAGCAACAACCUGAGUCAUACCCUUCCUGUGCAUCCUAAACCGUUUAACAUCCCAAUUGCCUGUAGAUAGGGUUCUCUCCAGGCCCAUAGUAAUACUAUCUUUGAUUAUGUAUUGAGAAAUGUCCAAACGGCUGGAGCGACUUGGCCUGGCUAGAAGAGUAUCGAUUGUCCUCCUAGCUUCAUCAUUCAUCGUCUUGAACAAAUCUUCAAAAAGGAGAGAUAGCAGCUGACCGGAGAGCUCCAAUCUCUUGUUCCCCACAUAGUCCUUGUCAUCCAUUGCAUCCUUGUUUAAG
Molecule: unclassified non-coding RNA, 394 nt
Filed under: Hevea brasiliensis (rubber tree)
Lineage: Eukaryota; Viridiplantae; Streptophyta; Magnoliopsida; Malpighiales; Euphorbiaceae
Source: RNAcentral